Small nuclear RNA from Fukomys damarensis (Damara mole-rat), 126 nucleotides. Its record names the gene U4. It matches the Rfam family "U4 spliceosomal RNA". From Rfam's summary of the family: U4 small nuclear RNA (U4 snRNA) is a component of the major U2-dependent spliceosome. The structure of U4 snRNA from yeast and human has been reported. The record is from Ensembl. Lineage: Eukaryota; Metazoa; Chordata; Mammalia; Rodentia; Bathyergidae.
AGUUUUGCACCUUAGCAGUAUCAUAGUCAAUGAGAUUUAUCUGAGGUGCGAUUAUUGCUAAUUGAAAACUUAUCAUGGUGGCAUUGUAGUGUAGUUUCAAGUUGAAAAUUUUUAUACCCCCUGUUA